UGUAAAUAAGUGUUUUAGCAUUUAAAUUUUUGAUAUUUAAGGUUUAGGUAAUUUCUAAAAUUUACAA
This 67-nucleotide transfer RNA is filed under the name Hypsauchenia hardwickii. RNAcentral's name for it is "tRNA-Gln". Lineage: Eukaryota; Metazoa; Arthropoda; Insecta; Hemiptera; Membracidae. The record is from RNAcentral.